GAGCCUACUUUGUUAGGUGACUGCGUACCUUUUGUAUAAUGGGUCAGCGACUUACGUUGUGUUGCGAGCUUAACCGAAUAGGGGAGGCGUAGCGAAAGCGAGUCCGAACAGGGCGUUCAGUAGCGCGGCGUAGACCCGAAACCGGAUGAUCUAUCCAUGGCCAGGAUGAAGGUGCCGUAACAGGUACUGGAGGUCCGAACCCACUAACGUUGAAAAGUUAGGGGAUGAGCUGUGGAUAGGGGUGAAAGGCUAAACAAAUCCGGAAAUAGCUGGUUCUCCCCGAAAACUAUUUAGGUAGUGCGUCACAUAUCACUUCCGGGGGUAAAGCACUGUUAUGGCUAGGGGGUCAUCGCGAUUUACCAAACCAUGGCAAACUCUGAAUACCGCAAAGUGCGAGCAUGGCAGACAGACAGUGGGUGCUAACGUCCAUUGUCAAGAGGGAAACAACCCAGACCGCCAGCUAAGGUCCCCAAGACACAGUUAAGUGGGAAACGAAGUGGGAAGGCAUAGACAGCUAGGAGGUUGGCUUAGAAGCAGCCAUCCUUUAAAGAAAGCGUAAUAGCUCACUAGUCGAGUCGUCCUGCGCGGAAGAUGUAACGGGGCUCAAACUGUGCACCGAAGCUGCGGAUAUCGAAAGAUAUGGUAGGGGAGCGUUCUGUAGGUCUGUGAAGGUGUCUCGUAAGGGAUGCUGGAGAUAUCAGAAGUGCGAAUGCUGACAUGAGUAGCGAUAAAGGGCGUGAAAAGCGCCCUCGCCGAAAGCCCAAGGUUUCCUACGCAACGUUCAUCGGCGUAGGGUGAGUCGGCCCCUAAGGCGAGGCUGAAAAGCGUAGUCGAUGGGAAACAGGUCAAUAUUCCUGUACCGAUUCUGGAUGCGAUGUGGGGACGGAGAAGGUUAGGUCAGCCGGGUGUUGGACGUCCCGGUUUAAGCGUGUAGGAGUGUCCCGUAGGCAAAUCCGCGGGAAUUAUCUGAGGCGUGAUAACGAGGAACCACGGUUCCGAAGUGAUUGAUACCAAGCUUCCAGGAAAAGCCACUAAGCUUCAGCUUGUAUGAGACCGUACCGCAAACCGACACAGGUGGGCAGGAUGAAAAUUCUAAGGCGCUUGAGAGAACUCAGGAGAAGGAACUCGGCAAAAUUGCACCGUAACUUCGGGAGAAGGUGCGCCCCGGUAGCGUGUAGAGACUUGCUCUUGAAGCGCGAUGGGGUUGCAGUGAAAUGGUGGCUGCGACUGUUUAAUAAAAACAUAGCACUCUGCAAACACGAAAGUGGACGUAUAGGGUGUGACGCCUGCCCGGUGCCGGAAGGUUAAUUGAUGGAGUGCGAGCUCUUGAUCGAAGCCCCGGUAAACGGCGGCCGUAACUAUAACGGUCCUAAGGUAGCGAAAUUCCUUGUCGGGUAAGUUCCGACCUGCACGAAUGGCGUAACGAUGGCCACACUGUCUCCUCCUGGGACUCAGCGAAGUUGAAAUGGUUGUGAAGAUGCAAUCUCCCCGCGGCUAGACGGAAAGACCCCAUGAACCUUUACUGUAGCUUUGCAUUGGACUUUGACGGGACUUGUGUAGGAUAGGUGGGAGGCUAUGAAACCGGGACGCCAGUUCCGGUGGAGCCAACCUUGAAAUACCACCCUGGUGUCGUUGAGGUUCUAACCCAGGCCUGUGAAUCCAGGUCGGGGACCGUGCAUGGUGGGCAGUUUGACUGGGGCGGUCUCCUCCCAAAAGGUAACGGAGGAGUACGAAGGUCACCUAGGUACGGUCGGACAUCGUACUGAUAGUGCAAUGGCAAAAGGAGGCUUGACUGCGAGACCGACAAGUCGAGCAGGUGCGAAAGCAGGUUAUAGUGAUCCUCGUGCGUUUUGUGGAAGACGCCGGGCUUAUCGGAUAAAAGCUACUCCGGGGAUAACAGAGUCAUCGCGCCUAAGCGUCCCUAGCGUCGGCGCGGUUUGCUAC
Molecule: ribosomal RNA, 1944 nt
Filed under: bioreactor sludge metagenome
Description: bacterial LSU rRNA
Rfam family: Bacterial large subunit ribosomal RNA
Source: RNAcentral